This 631-nucleotide ribosomal RNA is filed under the name uncultured delta proteobacterium. RNAcentral's name for it is "bacterial SSU rRNA". It matches the Rfam family "Bacterial small subunit ribosomal RNA", at positions 1 to 614 of the family's 1533-position model. Lineage: Bacteria; Deltaproteobacteria. The record is from RNAcentral.
UGAGUUUGAUCAUGGCUCAGAACGAACGCUGGCGGCGUGCUUAACACAUGCAAGUCGAACGCGAAAGGGACUUCGGUCCCGAGUAGAGUGGCGCACGGGUGAGUAACGCGUAAGUAAUCUACCCCUGUAUCUGGAAUAACCCACCGAAAGGUGAGCUAAUACCGGAUACGUUUAUCUUGAUGCGAAUGAUGAUAAAGAAAGGUGGCCUCUUCAUGAAAGCUACCGUACAGGGACGAGCUUGCGUACCAUUAGCUGGUUGGUAGGGUAAUGGCCUACCAAGGCGACGAUGGUUAGCGGGUCUGAGAGGAUGAUCCGCCACACUGGAACUGAAACACGGACCAGACUCCUACGGGAGGCAGCAGUGAGGAAUAUUGCGCAAUGGGGGCAACCCUGACGCAGCGACGCCGCGUGGACGAUGAAGGCCCUUGGGUCGUAAAAUCCUGUCAGAUGGAAAGAAAUGUACAGGUGUUAAUAUCGCCUGUAUUUGACGGUACCAUCAAAGGAAAGCACCGGCUAACUCCGUGCCAGCAGCCGCGGUAAUACGGAGGGUGCGAGCGUUGUUCGGAAUUACUGGGCGUAAAGCGCGCGUAGGCGGUUUGCUAAGUCAGAUGUGAAAGCCCUCGGCUUACCC